This 1177-nucleotide long non-coding RNA is filed under the name Brassica rapa (field mustard). RNAcentral describes it as "long non-coding RNA (BRAP_LNC007236)". The record is from RNAcentral. Lineage: Eukaryota; Viridiplantae; Streptophyta; Magnoliopsida; Brassicales; Brassicaceae.
UGGUGAUGAAAAAUUGUACUUUACAUUAAGAAAAAAUAAGGUGUUAGUAGUGGGACACUUGUAAUCCACUGAAAAAACAAAUCCAGCCUAAAACCUUUAAUCGAGUGUGAACCGACAAGAAAACCAUUAGACGAUUUCAAUCCAGAACAAAACCCUAUUUCGAUUUCAAUCCCGACGAGAACAACAAACAAUCGUAUCUAAAAGAACAAAUUAGCAAACGCAGAAGAAAACCCUAAUUCGAAUAAAAUCCCCAAUCCCAUUUACUCAAUCCAGAACCUGUAAUCGCGUCUAUAACAACACACCAUCGCGUCGAAAAGAAGAAAAUAGCAAACCCAGACAAAAACCCUAAUUCGAUUGAAAUCCCCAAUCCCAUUUCAAACCCUAAUUCUAUUUAAACCCCACAAUCGAACCCUUUCAACCGAUGAAAUGAACAUGCAUCAAGCCCAGAAGAAAAAUUAACAGACAGAGACGCCGGAUUUACCUUCGACAAUGACGAUCACGAUUCGCCCCUCUAUCGCCUCCGUCACGUCUCUGGUUUUUUUUUUCCUUGGGUCGAACAAAUGAUUUUCUUCGCGUUUUUUUUUCACUCCCUCCACCAAAAACAAACGUGACUCCAGCCACUCACGUAACGCCAGCGCAUUACGGACUCCGUCCUUUUAAUCCUUAAUUUAGGAUUCAUCCUUAGCUUAAUCGAUAUUUUUAAUGUUUAUUUAAUCAGAAAAAGCUAAGGAUUACACUUAAGGAUUGACUAACAACCCGCGUUGUACAUGCUCUAAGUAGUAUGAUGGUGGUGAAGAGCCGUAAACAUAUAGUGCUAGAGAAGACGUAUAGUUAAUCUUUGUUGAUGAGAAGGAAUAUGGUGGUGUUGGUGAGAAACUGUAGAUAUAUAGUAUUGGAGGAGAUUUGUAGUCUAUUUUUCGUGAUGGAAAAUAGUACGGAGGUAGUAGAAAAUUGUGGAUAUAACAGUAGCGGAGGAGUGUUGUAUUCUACCUUCGGAGAUGGUGAAUAUGAUGGGAGUGGUGGCAAGCUAUAUGUAUAUGGUUCAUAGGCAGCAACCAGUGUCGCCAUGAUGGUAACGCUUAGAGCGUAAAUGAGAUGGGCUGAAGGCAUGCUAGAGGAAGAUCUCAUAUUUGUGAUUUAUUUUUCUCUACCUACGUUGGUUGAUUUUUCUUGUUUU